This is a long non-coding RNA of Passer domesticus (house sparrow), 952 nucleotides long. RefSeq lists it as uncharacterized. NCBI's taxonomy places the organism in Eukaryota, Metazoa, Chordata, Aves, Passeriformes, Passeridae. The record is from RefSeq and is a predicted model, not a curated record. The transcript is spliced from 2 exons.
AUAUGGGAAAUUUUUUCAGGACAGUACCAAUUUUGGCAGUGGGCAUCUGAAAAGAGGGACACUUCUUUUCCAUAGCAAGGAAAGCAUGGAGCCCCAGUGCUGCAGGAGCUGAUGAGAAGCAGCCCUUGACAUCCCAAGAUCAGCCAGACCUGUCAGGUGGCCCCUGGGAGGCCAAGCCAGCCAGACCUGCUCCAUGUUCCUUCGGUUCCAUGGGGCCCUACAGUGUCCCAAUGGUCCCUUGCUUCCAUGAGGCCCUGAGGUGUCAUAAUGUCCCCUUGGUGAAACGAGACCCUGAAGAGUCAGAAUGGUCUCCAUGGUUCCACCAGGCCCCACAGAGUCACAAUGGUCUCUGGGUUCCAUGAAGCCCCGCUGUGUCACCAUGGCCCCUUGGUUCCAUGGGCUCCAGUGGUGUCACAAUGAUCCCCUUGGUUCCAUGAGGUCCCUUCCCACAGUGUCCCAGUGAUCUCCAUGGGAAGGAAAGAACCAAGCCCCAGUGUUGCAGGGUGUCCUGGUUUGCCAAACAAAUUGCAGGCAUCUGCUGAUAACAGACUAUUGAAUGUCACUGCAUGACUGAUAAGAACUACAGCAUCCCAUUGUGAGAUGAUCCAGCCAGAGGGAUGAGCCAAGCAUUCCUACCCAGAUACAAUCCUGUGCUUCUGGAACACCAGCAUGGCUUUCUCCACUGGAAUUCCCAGAGGAGCAGCUGCCUCUUCCACUGGAUCUUCAGAGGAAGACUACACCCUUUUCUACAGGAUCUGUGCUCCAACAGAACCACACCUGACACUCCAGGAGGACUGCAGCCACAUUUUCAAUUGGACUGCUACCAGCACCCUGACCAACAGGGUGUCGAGUUGUGUUCUGACUCUGUCAGUCUUAUUUUAGUUUACUGCAUUGUUUAUUUUAUCUUUUUAUUUUCUUCCCUAUUAAAGAACCGUUAUUUCCUGCUCCUGUA